GCCUACGGGAGGCAGCAGUGGGGAAUUUUGGACAAUGGGCGCAAGCCUGAUCCAGCAAUGCCGCGUGAGUGAAGAAGGCCUUCGGGUUGUAAAGCUCUUUCAGUUGAGAAGAAGAGAUUGUAACUAAUAAUUGCAAUCCAUGACGGUAUCGACAGAAGAAGCACCGGCUAACUACGUGCCAGCAGCCGCGGUAAUACGUAGGGUGCAAGCGUUAAUCGGAAUUACUGGGCGUAAAGGGUGCGCAGGCGGUUCUGUAAGUCAGAUGUGAAAUCCCCGGGCUUAACCUGGGAACUGCGUUUGAAACUACAGAGCUAGAGUGUGGCAGAGGGGGGUGGAAUUCCAUGUGUAGCAGUGAAAUGCGUAGAGAUAUGGAAGAACAUCGAUGGCGAAGGCAGCCCCCUGGGUCAACACUGACGCUCAUGCACGAAAGCGUGGGGAGCAAACAGGAUUAGAUUCCCGCGUAGUCC
This 467-nucleotide ribosomal RNA is filed under the name uncultured bacterium. Its description in RNAcentral is "bacterial SSU rRNA". It matches the Rfam family "Bacterial small subunit ribosomal RNA", at positions 337 to 796 of the family's 1533-position model. The record is from RNAcentral.